CAGCAGCCCGAGUGGUGGUUGUUUUUAUUGGGCCUAAAGCGUCCGUAGCCGGUCUAGUAAAUCCUUGGAUAAAUCGUACAGCUUAACUGUACGGCUCCCGGGGAGACUGCUAGACUUGGGACUGGGAGAGGUCGGAGGUACUCCAGGGGUAGGGGUGAAAUCUUGUAAUCCUUGGGGGACCACCAGUGGCGAAGGCGUCCGACUAGAACGGGUCCGACGGUAAGGGACGAAGCCCUGGGGCGCGAACCGGAUUAGAUACCCGAGUAGUCC
Molecule: ribosomal RNA, 270 nt
Filed under: uncultured archaeon
Lineage: Archaea
Description: partial 16S ribosomal RNA
Rfam family: Archaeal small subunit ribosomal RNA
Source: RNAcentral